RNAcentral lists this ribosomal RNA (406 nucleotides) under uncultured bacterium. Its description in RNAcentral is "partial 16S ribosomal RNA". It matches the Rfam family "Bacterial small subunit ribosomal RNA", at positions 30 to 526 of the family's 1533-position model. The record is from RNAcentral.
AUUGAACGCUGGCGGCAGGCCUAACACAUGCAAGUCGAACGAGUGGCGGACGGGUGAGUAAUGUCUGGGAAACUGGCUGAUGGAGGGGGAUAACUACUGGAAACGGUAGCUAAUACCGCAUACCCUCAGAUGUGCCCAGAUGGGAUUAGCUUGUUGGGGGGGUAACGGCGCACCAAGGCGACGAUCCCUAGCUGGGCUGAGAGGAUGAACAGCCACACGGGAACUGGGACACGGUCCAGACUCCUACGGGAGGCAGCAGUGGGGAAUAUUGCACAAUGGGCGAAAGCCUGAUGCAGCCAUGCCGCGUGUAUGAAGAAGGCCUUCGGGUUGUAAAGUUCUUUCAGCGGGGAGGCGUUACCCGCAGAAGAAGCACCGGCUAACUCCGUGCCAGCAGCCGCGGUAAUAC